RNAcentral lists this transfer RNA (73 nucleotides) under Lactococcus phage KSY1. RNAcentral's name for it is "tRNA-Gln". It matches the Rfam family "tRNA". From Rfam's summary of the family: Transfer RNA (tRNA) molecules are approximately 80 nucleotides in length. Their secondary structure includes four short double-helical elements and three loops (D, anti-codon, and T loops). The record is from RNAcentral. Lineage: Duplodnaviria; Heunggongvirae; Uroviricota; Caudoviricetes.
UGGAAUAUAGUUUAGAUUGGUAGAACGCAGGACUUUGAAUCCUGUAGCAUUGGUUCGAGUCCAGUUAUUCCAG